GAGUGUUCUCUGCAGCAGAAGACCCCUUGCUGCCCUGCUUAACCCAGGCCAGCAUUUGCCAGUUUUGACCACUCCGUCAUCCAAGCACUCAUAAAGAUUCCUCUUCAUCCACCAACACAGCAAACAUGAAUAAAAGUUAUGGCACAGAGUUACCUGUUCAAGAAGUGGGGCGGAAGGGGAAGGAGCAAAGUUUUCAUCACAUCUGAAGUCAUCCAGCAAACUUAUUUCUUUGUGUAGUUGCUUUUCUGCGUGAUUGGUCAAAGACCAAAAUAAAGACUGACUGACUUGACUGGCUGACUUUUCUGCAUGAGAUAAGUCCUCAAAAUGACUUAAUGAAAGAGCCAUUCUUUAGUUCAAGAUCCCCUUCAAGACUGCCGUAAGCUUAUGAUAUUUUAUCAUUUCCAGACUCCUUAAGAAAUUGUCACUGAUGACAACAUGCUGUAUCUUGAAGUUAUUUAGGACUAUGAAAGACAUAAACAAGCACACCUACCAUGUACUGUGACCUGCCAAGUGCUUGACAACUUUUCUGUUUUUGCAGUCCUGGGCGGAAAUCAAGCUCCUGGUGGACCUCCAUACUUGAUUUGUACCACAUAUCUAACUAAUUCGACAGUAUAUGUUUAUUUUAUUUUAUAUUUGUAUUGAUUUGAUUUGUAUACCACCUCAGCCAGAUGGCUCUAGGUGAUCUGUGUGCUUAACACACAAUUUUACAAAAUGUUAUAAGCUGUGAAGACCUGGACUAUAAUAAGUUUAGGUGAGAACCACAUCUCACAUUGUAGUAGUAUGCUGAAUUGCUCAGUAUGCUGAAUUUCAUGAAUCAAUGCACUAAAACAUUUCAGUUAUGCUGAAUAGAUACAUAAAUAAAUAAACUUUUCCUUGAUUUCCUCU
This is a long non-coding RNA of Hemicordylus capensis (graceful crag lizard), 885 nucleotides long. RefSeq lists it as uncharacterized. The record is from RefSeq and is a predicted model, not a curated record. NCBI's taxonomy places the organism in Eukaryota, Metazoa, Chordata, Lepidosauria, Squamata, Cordylidae. The transcript has 2 exons.